GUGAAGCAGACAUGCAGAGGUUGGUGUCGGUGACCAUAGAACAGUAUGGACAACUAGAUUGCCUGGUGAACAAUGCUGGCGGGCAUCCCCCCGAUCAAAGAAUCGAUGAUGUGUCUGCACAAGAAUUCCGCAAUCUCAUGGA
Molecule: long non-coding RNA, 142 nt
Organism: Protobothrops mucrosquamatus (brown spotted pit viper)
Lineage: Eukaryota; Metazoa; Chordata; Lepidosauria; Squamata; Viperidae
Exons: 3
Source: RefSeq, a predicted model, not a curated record